UCAAACACCUUUCUUUUUUACAACAAUAACUCUCUCAAAAGAGUCGAUAAAGAGAUACAAAAUAAGCUCUAUGAACAACUCAAUGUUGUCUCUCAAAUGGCUCAACAAAAGCUCUAUUAUGAUGCACAAAUGAUGAUCAAUAUGUAUAUGAAUAAUGAGUGGUGUUGUGUGUUGCAAUUCAGCUCAAAAGACCUCUAUUUAUAGGUGGUAGAAGUAG
RNAcentral lists this long non-coding RNA (217 nucleotides) under Nicotiana benthamiana. RNAcentral's name for it is "long non-coding RNA (NBEN_LNC002068)". The record is from RNAcentral. Lineage: Eukaryota; Viridiplantae; Streptophyta; Magnoliopsida; Solanales; Solanaceae.